CAGCCGCCGCGGUAAUACGUAGGGUGCAAGCGUUAAUCGGAAUUACUGGGCGUAAAGCGUGCGCAGGCGGUUAUAUAAGUCAGAUGUGAAAUCCCCGGGCUCAACCUGGGACCUGCAUUUGUGACUGUAUAGCUAGAGUACGGUAGAGGGGGAUGGAAUUCCGCGUGUAGCAGUGAAAUGCGUAGAUAUGCGGAGGAACACCGAUGGCGAAGGCAAUCCCCUGGACCUGUACUGACGCUCAUGCACGAAAGCGUGGGGAGCAAACAGGAUUAGAUACCCCUGUAGUCCCUGUCUCUUAUAC
RNAcentral lists this ribosomal RNA (301 nucleotides) under uncultured bacterium. Its description in RNAcentral is "partial 16S ribosomal RNA". It matches the Rfam family "Bacterial small subunit ribosomal RNA", at positions 509 to 807 of the family's 1533-position model. The record is from RNAcentral.